Telopea speciosissima is the source of this 359-nucleotide long non-coding RNA. RefSeq lists it as uncharacterized. Lineage: Eukaryota; Viridiplantae; Streptophyta; Magnoliopsida; Proteales; Proteaceae. The transcript is spliced from 2 exons. The record is from RefSeq and is a predicted model, not a curated record.
UUAUGAUCUAAAGCCAAGCAAUAUUCUUCUCGAUAGUGACUUAACUGCACAUUUGGGUGAUUUCGGGAUAUCAAAAAUUCUUUCAAAAGCCACAUGUAGAUCUCAAAAUCACACGAGCCCAAUCAGAUUAAAGGGAUCUAUUGGCUACAUUGCGCCAGAGUAUGGUGCAGGUGCUGAUGUUUCAAUGCAUGGUGAUGUCUACAGUUAUGGGAUUCUCUUGUUAGAGAUGUUCACAGGGUAGCGGCCUACUCAUGAAAUGUUCAAAGAUAACUUUAAUCUUCACUACUGGGCUGAGAUGGCUUUGCAUGAUGGAGUGAUAGUUGUUGUCGACCCAUCACUUCUCUCCAUGGAAGAAGAUG